Molecule: ribosomal RNA, 404 nt
Filed under: uncultured bacterium
Lineage: Bacteria
Description: bacterial SSU rRNA
Rfam family: Bacterial small subunit ribosomal RNA
Source: RNAcentral
UGGGGAAUAUUGCACAAUGGGGGAAACCCUGAUGCAGCAACGCCGCGUGAAGGAAGAAGUAUUUCGGUAUGUAAACUUCUAUCAGCAGGGAAGAAUAAAAUGACGGUACCUGACUAAGAAGAACCGGCUAAAUACGUGCCAGCAGCCGCGGUAAUACGUAUGGUUCAAGCGUUAUCCGGAUUUACUGGGUGUAAAGGGUGAGUAGGCGGUUAUGCAAGUCACAUGUGAAAUGUCGGGGCUCAACUCCGGCCUGCAUGAGAAACUGUAUAACUAGAGUGCAGGAGAGGCAAGCGGAAUUCCUAGUGUAGCGGUGAAAUGCGUAGAUAUUAGGAAGAACACCGGUGGCGAAGGCGGCUUGCUGGACUGUAACUGACGCUGAGUCACGAAAGCGUGGGGAGCAAACA